AACGUAGGACGCAAGCGUUAUCCGGAGUUACUGGGCGUAAAGCGCGGGCAGGCGGCUUGUCAAGUGGGGUGUGAAAGCUCCCAGCUUAACUGGGAGAGGCCAUUCCAAACUGAUAGGCUGGAGGGCAGCAGAGGUGCGUGGAAUUCCGGGUGGAGUGGUGAAAUGCGUAGAGAUCCGGAGGAACACCAGAGGCGAAGGCGGCGCACUGGGCUGUACCUGACGCUGAUCCGCGACAGCCAGGGGAGCGAAC
This 250-nucleotide ribosomal RNA is filed under the name uncultured bacterium. RNAcentral describes it as "partial 16S ribosomal RNA". It matches the Rfam family "Bacterial small subunit ribosomal RNA", at positions 524 to 773 of the family's 1533-position model. The record is from RNAcentral.